UGACAUCAGCGGUCAUGGAGAGUCUCCAUCCAGCUGGAUCACUGUCACAGAUAAACCUACACCGACAGCUUCACCCACCACAACAACUUUUCUCACAUCCACAUCACUGUCUACCACAACAGCUCCAAACCCUGGCUGCUCCCUCUGCCAUCCUAAUUUCAGACUAGUCCUCCACCUGCUGGUGAUCUGUCCAUAUUUGAUAUCCACUCUCCUCUUGGUGUCUUUAUAUCAACACAGAGCCAAAGGCUGAGCAGGGACUGGAUGAUGACUGUAAUUACAACAUCACUAGCAUCAACAAAGAGCACCACAUCUGAACCUCUCUACCUUAACUUAAAAAAUUAAAUGUGUUCUGAUGUUUCGAGCUGUGAAUCAAUUGGUUGCUUUUACUCCGUGUUUUUGUAAUGAUUAAGUGGAGAUGUGGAGGAGGUGGAUUAAGUGAAUUAGAGUCUAAAAAGGAAAAUGACAGAAGAGCACUGAGAUUUAAACCGUGCAGAGUGGCAGCUGAUUGGCUCAAAAAAAGGUUAAAAAGAAGAUGAUUGGACUAGAUCAGGGGUGCCCAAUCCCGGUCCUCGAGAGCU
Long non-coding RNA from Haplochromis burtoni (Burton's mouthbrooder), 578 nucleotides. RefSeq lists it as uncharacterized. The record is from RefSeq and is a predicted model, not a curated record. The transcript is spliced from 3 exons. Lineage: Eukaryota; Metazoa; Chordata; Actinopteri; Cichliformes; Cichlidae.